GCUGUGUCUCAAUGAAAGAGCUUCUGUUUUGCAUGCAGAAGUCCCCAGGUUCAAUCCCUGCCAUCUCCA
This 69-nucleotide transfer RNA is filed under the name Sphaerodactylus townsendi. RNAcentral's name for it is "tRNA-Ala". The record is from RNAcentral. Lineage: Eukaryota; Metazoa; Chordata; Lepidosauria; Squamata; Sphaerodactylidae.